CCCUUAGAUGUUCUGGGCCGCACGCGUGCUACACUGAGUGGAUCAGCGGGUCAGGUUGCGCGAAAGUGUUUCCUAAUCUUUAAAUCCGCUCGUGAUGGGGAUUGACGGUUGCAAUUUUCCGUCAUGAACGAGGAAUACCUUGUAAGCGCGGGUCAUCAUCCCGCGCUGAAUACGUCCCUGCCCUUUGUACACACCGCCCGUCGCUCCUACCGAUUGAGUGGUCCAGUGAGGCUUUGGGAUCUGGGCGGAAAGAGCGUUUCGCUGUUUCUGCCCGGAAAACUCAGUCGAACCUUAUCAUUUAGAGGAAGGAGAAGUCGUAACA
RNAcentral lists this ribosomal RNA (322 nucleotides) under uncultured eukaryote. RNAcentral's name for it is "partial 18S ribosomal RNA". It matches the Rfam family "Eukaryotic small subunit ribosomal RNA", at positions 1470 to 1796 of the family's 1831-position model. The record is from RNAcentral.